CCGCUUGACUUCCACCGAUGCCAAGACUGUGC
RNAcentral lists this non-coding RNA (32 nucleotides) under Syntrophotalea carbinolica DSM 2380. The record is from RNAcentral. Lineage: Bacteria; Pseudomonadati; Thermodesulfobacteriota; Desulfuromonadia; Desulfuromonadales; Syntrophotaleaceae.